Molecule: long non-coding RNA, 549 nt
Filed under: Phoenix dactylifera (date palm)
Lineage: Eukaryota; Viridiplantae; Streptophyta; Magnoliopsida; Arecales; Arecaceae
Description: long non-coding RNA (PDAC_LNC012052)
Source: RNAcentral
UCCUGAUUCGAAUUGGAUUCGAAUCUGAUUCUUAAUUGAUCUAAUUUGAUUAGAUCAUGUUCUAAUAUGGUUAGCCAAGAGUUGGCACCUAAUUGGCUUGGUUUGAGUCUAAUUGGAUUAGAUUUGAUAAAUCAUUCAAUCUAGACCGUUAGAUCUUGAUCUACCGUUGGAUGAAGACAUAAUGGAGAGUUGGUUUAACCCAAUUGGAUUGGGUUAGAUGAUGGCUAUCAUAAUUGACCAUUGGAUCUUAAUCCCACCAUUGGAUGAAGACAUAAUGGGUCAAGUGAAUGGCGCCUUGCAUUGGAGCCCUUAGAUCAUCAUCAUGAAAGAUCAAGAGGUGAGGCGUGAUGGACAUGUGAUUAGCAUGUGAUGUUGACUUGGUCAAAAUAUGGCACCACAUGAAAGGACAUAUCAUUUGAUACACCUCCUCACUUGAUCUGCAUCUCCUCUUAUUUGAUAUGGCCCUUUAGAUGAUGCCCUUUCAUGAGAGGAUGUGUGGAUGGGAUGCAUCCCUUGGAGAUGCAUCCCUACACCUAUUAUAAAUAGGCU